UAUUUCCUACGGGGGGCAGCAGUGGGGAAUAUUGCACAAUGGGGGAAACCCUGAUGCAGCGACGCCGCGUGAGUGAAGAAGUAUUUCGGUAUGUAAAGCUCUAUCAGCAGGGAAGAAGAAAGACGGUACCCGACCAAGAAGCCCCGGCUAACUACGUGCCAGCAGCCGCGGUAAUACGUAGGGGGCGAGCGUUAUCCGGAAUUACUGGGUGUAAAGGGAGCGUAGACGGCCAGACAAGUCUGAAGUGAAAAUCCAGCGCUUAACGAUGGAAGUGCUUUGGAAACUGCCGGGCUAG
This 295-nucleotide ribosomal RNA is filed under the name uncultured bacterium. RNAcentral describes it as "partial 16S ribosomal RNA". It matches the Rfam family "Bacterial small subunit ribosomal RNA", at positions 333 to 644 of the family's 1533-position model. The record is from RNAcentral.